This 480-nucleotide ribosomal RNA is filed under the name uncultured bacterium. Its description in RNAcentral is "bacterial SSU rRNA". It matches the Rfam family "Bacterial small subunit ribosomal RNA", at positions 501 to 984 of the family's 1533-position model. The record is from RNAcentral.
CUACGUGCCAGCAGCCGCGGUAAUACGGAAGGUUCGGGCGUUAUCCGGAUUUAUUGGGUUUAAAGGGAGCGUAGGCCGGAGAUUAAGUGUGUUGUGAAAUGUAGACGCUCAACGUCUGACUUGCAGCGCAUACUGGUUUCCUUGAGUACGCACAACGUUGGCGGAAUUCGUCGUGUAGCGGUGAAAUGCUUAGAUAUGACGAAGAACUCCGAUUGCGAAGGCAGCUUACUGUAGCGCAACUGACGCUGAUGCUCGAAAGCGUGGGUAUCGAACAGGAUUAGAUACCCUGGUAGUCCACGCGGUAAACGAUGGAUGCUCGUUGUCGGCCUUUGUGGUCGGUGACCAAGCGAAAGCGUUAAGCAUCCCACCUGGGGAGUACGCCGGCAACGGUGAAACUCAAAGGAAUUGACGGGGGCCCGCACAAGCGGAGGAACAUGUGGUUUAAUUCGAUGAUACGCGAGGAACCUUACCCGGGCUUGA